UGCGUAGUCUAUGUGAAACAGGUUAUUCCUGUGCUGGUGUUACUGCGAAGGGGACGGAGAAGGCUAUGUUGGCCGGGGGGACGUUGUCCCGGUUUGAGCGUGUAGGCUGGUUUUCCAGGCAACUGGAAAUCAAGGCUGAGGCGUGAUGACGAGGCACUACGGUGCUGAAGCAACAAAUGCCCUGCUUCCAGGAAAAGUUUUUUGCAUCAGGUAACAUCAAAUCGUACCCCAAACCGACACAGGUGGUCAGGUAGAGAAUACCAAGGCGCUUGAGAGAGCUCGGGUGAAGGAACUAGGCAAAAUGGUGCCGUAACUCGGGAGAAGGCACGCUGAUGUAGGUGAGGUCCUCGCGGAUGGAGCUGAAAUCAGUCGAAGAUACCAGCUGGCUGCAACUGUUUAUUAAAACACAGCACUGUGCAAACACGAAAGUGGACGUAUACGGUGAUGCCUGCCCGGUGCCGGAAGGUUAAUUGAUGGGGUUAGCGCAAGCGAAGCUUUGAUCGAAGCCCCGGUAAACGGCGGCCGUAACAAUAACGGUCCUAAGGUAGCGAAAUUCUUGUCGGUAAGUUCCGACCUGCACGAAUGGCGUAAUGAUGGCCAGGCUGUCUCCACCGAGACUCAGUGGAAAUUGAACUCGCUGUGAAGAUGCAUGUACCCGGGGCAAGACGGAAAGACCCCGUGAACCUUUACUAUAGCGACACUGAACAUUGAGCCUGAUGUAGGGAUAGGUGGGAGGCUUUGAAGUGUGGACGCCAGUCUGCAUGGAGCCGACCUUGAAAAUACCACCCUUUAAUGUUUGAUGUUCUAACGUUGACCGCAUCCGGGUUGCGUGACAGUGUCUGGUGGUAGUUUGGUUGCGGUCUCCUCCUAAGAGUAAGGGAGGAGCACGAAGGUUGGCUAAUCCUGGUCGGACAUCAGGAGGUUAGUGCAAUGGCAUAAGCCAGCUUGACUGCGAGCGUGACGGCAGCAGGUGCGAAAGCAGGUCAUAGUGAUCCGUGGUUCUGAAUGGAAGGCCAUCGCUCAACGGAUAACAGGUACUCCGGGAUAAGUUGAUACCGCCCAAGAGUUCAUAUCGACGGCGGUGUUUGCACCUCGAUGUCGGCUCAUCACAUCCUGGGGCUGAAAGUAGGUCCCAAGGCAUGGCUGUUCGCCAUUUAAAGUGGUACCGAGCUGGGUUUGAACGUCGUGAGACAGUUCGGUCCCUUUACUGCCGUGGCGCUGGAGAACUGAGGGGGUUCUCCUGAGUACGAGAGGACCGGAGUGGACGCAUCACUGGUGUUCGUUGUCAUGCCAAUGGCACUGCCCGGUAGCUAAAUCGGAAGAGAUAAGUGCUGAAAGCAUCUAAGCACGAAACUUGCCCCCCGAGAUGAGUUCUCCUGACUCUUGAGAGUCCUGAAGGAACGUUGAAGACGACGACGUUGAUAGGCCAGGUGUAAGCGCAGCGAUGCGUUGAGCUAACCGGUACUAAUGAACCGUGAGGCUUAA
RNAcentral lists this ribosomal RNA (1485 nucleotides) under metagenome. Its description in RNAcentral is "bacterial LSU rRNA". It matches the Rfam family "Bacterial large subunit ribosomal RNA", at positions 1408 to 2925 of the family's 2925-position model. The record is from RNAcentral.